GGGGAUAUAGCUCAGCGGUAGAGCGCUUGCCUAGCAAGCGCAAGGCCCUGGGUUCGGUCCCCAGCUCCG
Rattus norvegicus (Norway rat) is the source of this 69-nucleotide non-coding RNA. The record is from Rfam. Lineage: Eukaryota; Metazoa; Chordata; Mammalia; Rodentia; Muridae.